UCCGGAGGGUGCGAUCGUUGCUCGGAAUCACUGGGCGUAAAGCGUACGCAGGCGGCUCGUUAAGUCGGGUGUGAAAGCCCGGGGCUCAACCCCGGAAUUGCGCCCGAUACUGGCGAGCUUGAGUACGGGAGAGGGAUAGCGGAAUUCCUGGUGUAGAGGUGAAAUUCGUAGAUAUCAGGAGGAACACCAGUGGCGAAAGCGGCUUCCUGGCCCGAUACUGACGCUCAUGUACGAAAGCGUGGGGAGGAAACAGG
This 254-nucleotide ribosomal RNA is filed under the name uncultured bacterium. Its description in RNAcentral is "partial 16S ribosomal RNA". It matches the Rfam family "Bacterial small subunit ribosomal RNA", at positions 524 to 776 of the family's 1533-position model. The record is from RNAcentral.